GAUGAACGCUGGCGGCGUGCCUAAUACAUGCAAGUCGAGCGAACGGACGAGAAGCUUGCUUCUCUGAUGUUAGCGGCGGACGGGUGAGUAACACGUGGAUAACCUACCUAUAAGACUGGGAUAACUUCGGGAAACCGGAGCUACUACCGGAUAAUAUUUUGAACCGCAUGGUUCAAAAGUGAAAGACGGUCUUGCUGUCACUUAUAGCUGGAUCCGCGCUGCAUUAGCUAGUUGGUAAGGUAACGGCUUACCAAGGCAACGAUGCAUAGCCGACCUGAGAGGGUGAUCGGCCACACUGGAACUGAGACACGGUCCAGACUCCUACGGGAGGCAGCAGUAGGGAAUCUUCCGCAAUGGGCGAAAGCCUGACGGAGCAACGCCGCGUGAGUGAAGAAGGUCUUCGGAUCGUAAAACUCUGUUAUUAGGGAAGAACAUAUGUGGAAGUAACUGUGCACAUCUUGACGGUACCUAAUCAGAAAGCCACGGCUAACUACGUG
This 497-nucleotide ribosomal RNA is filed under the name uncultured bacterium. RNAcentral describes it as "partial 16S ribosomal RNA". It matches the Rfam family "Bacterial small subunit ribosomal RNA", at positions 28 to 507 of the family's 1533-position model. The record is from RNAcentral.